Brienomyrus brachyistius is the source of this 3412-nucleotide long non-coding RNA. RefSeq lists it as uncharacterized. The record is from RefSeq and is a predicted model, not a curated record. Lineage: Eukaryota; Metazoa; Chordata; Actinopteri; Osteoglossiformes; Mormyridae. The transcript is spliced from 2 exons.
ACUUAAGACAGGCCAGCAUGCGGACAAGAAGACCCACCCACGCCGCCCAGGAGACAAGAUACUUCAACAUACAAGUUACUGCUAAAAGGCACUAAUACCAAAUGGCAGAUAAACACUGGCAUUUGCAACCAGCAAAGUAAUGACAAAACCCACUAUUCUGCAGGUGUCAUAGUCACAGAACUCAUACACACAUUCAGAGCAAAGUGCAGUACUGUGAAAAAGUCUUAGGCAGUCAAAGAAAACAAUGUUUGAAUGAUCUUCACGUUGGUGUAAAACCAUGUCUGUAAAAGUGCUAGCGUAACCAUGUUAAAACCUCUCCUGAAAUCACCCCAGUAUUUGCAGCAACCAUCCAAUAUAGCCUCACAUUUUUUUGACAUGACCACUAGCACCCCUUGUAUGGCUAAUCAACACCCCACAGACUUUUAAAACUAGUUUAAUCAAUUAAGUGAACUGGUGGUGAAAUUGACAAAUAUAUGGAAUGACUGAGGUGCUCCUGAUGAGAGGUUUGGAAACUGAAGAAGUGUUCUUCUAGUCAUCCAAUUAGAUAUCAAUAAUUAUUCAAAGAACUGAGGAAAUUGUUAGUUUUCAUUGUUACUGUUAAUUUGCAUAUGUUCUUAUGUUAAAUUGUCAUUUUUGUUCUGAGCAAAUGUGCACUUACUACCCAGAUAAGUAUAAUAGAUACCACUUAUAGUCAUGUUUGUUGGGAUAAAAUUGAUCACUAUAAGCAGAUGAUCAUUAUAACCAAUUUUUUAUUCUUUAUGUCUCAGGUAGAUUGGCCAUAUUAUUGAUUUCGGGUCACUGCUCGUGCAGUCAACUGGUUGGCUUGUAGAGUAGCCGUUUCAUUUAUUUUGUAUAUUUUGUGUAUUUAUUUUGUGCAUAGUUUGUCAACGCAUUUCUUUAGGAGGAGUGAUACUCACAGUCUUGAUAACUGCACUCUUUCACAUGUUAUUUAUUUAUUUUUAAUGUACGGGUGCGUCUACCGACUCCGCCAUUGUUCUUGCCAGCUGCUGUAUGGACUACUAAAACGGAGCCUGGAAUUUACAUGCGUUUACAUUUACAGCAUGGACAGCCAAGGACAUCUUAGUGCUGAUCAUCUUGCUUUUCUGGUUAUUUGUGGAGUUUCUCAGCCAACCUCAACGGACUCAACUUUCCCGAUGUACAGCGGAUCGCCUACUCCAGAGACUUUCUACAGCGGUUUGCUCCUCGCCACUUCCAUACCACUCCCAUAGAUGGCAUACCGCAGGAAAUACUACAAGACCACAAAACUCACAACAACAAAAAAGGGCAACUGCAACCACAGCCACAGAAAUCAUCAAGAAAACAAUCAACAGGCUGGAAAUCAUAUCCCCUGACUCCCCCAAAUGAAUCCUUGGAGACUUUAAUCACUGCUCACCUGGAAAGUCUCUAAAAGGUUUUCAGCAGUACAUCACGUGCCCCACCCAUCAGGGGAAGACUUUGGACAAAUGCUAUGGAUCUGUCCCUGGUGCAUAUAAAGCCUUUGCUCUUCCCCCACUUGGCAAUGCUGAUCACCACACUAUCCUGCUAGCUCCAGCCUACACCCCUGUCAUAAGGAGAGCAGAGAUGGUUGUAAAAAAACAUCAAGCAUCCCAACAAUAAACCUUGGGUAACUAAAGAACUUAAAGAAAUUCUCAAUAAAAACACAAUCUUGAGAAGGAGGAGGUUAACAAAGAGGUCAAAAGAGCCAGAGAAAACGUCAAGCUGACAUACAAGUACAAGGUGGAGGAAAAAUUUGGUCAAGGAUGCCUCCGCUCAGCCUGGCAAGGAAUUAAGAAUAUGGCCACUGUGAACACUGCCCCCACCACCCACAGAACCAUCUAGGUGGCAGGCAGCAGCCCAGCAUCCCUCCCCAACUACCUCAACUCCUCCUUCUCCAGGUCAGACGGACAGUUCCUGCCUCAUUGUGUUCACCUACUCCCUACUGCCUACUGGAACAGAUCUCAUCGUCAUCAGAGGAGGUUAUGAGAGCCCUCAAGAAUACCAAGGAGAACACAGCACUUGGCCCAGACAAUAUUAGUAGCCAUGUUCUACGUCAUUGCGCAGGGCAGCUGGGGGGCGUGUUACAGCUCCUGUUUCAAAGAUCAGUAGAGAGCUACACAGUUCCCCAGUAAUGGAAGCACUCCACGGUGGUCCCCAUCCCUAAGAAGAGCUCAGUCAGGGCUCUGAACGACCUUAGGCCUAUGGCUCUGACCUCACUUGUGAUGAAGACCAUGGAGAGAGUCAUAAAGAAGCACAUCGUCAAGAUGACUAAUGCUCUGAUGGACCCUCUGCAGUUCGCAUACCAGGCAGGUAGAGGGGUUGAUGACACAAACUUAUUCAUCAUGGACACCAUGCACAGGCACCUUGAACAUCCCAACACCUCAGCUAGACUUCUGUUUGCUGACUUUUCAUCAGCAUUCAAUACUAUGCAGCCACAUAUCCUUGCAGAGUAAUUAUCCACCCACUUCCACCUGGAUGACUAGCUAGUUCUGUGGAUCCGAGAUUUUUUUAGCCAACAGAACACAGAGAAUGCUGGUUAACAAAAUCUUCUCCGACCUCUCCUUCUCCUCCACUUGCUCUCCUCAAGGCUGUGUCCUCUCACCUCUGCUCUUCAUCCUCUACACAGAUGACUGCAGGUCUUCCCACCCUGACCGAUAUCUGAACAAGUAUGCGGAUGACACUGUUCUUCUGUCUCUGCUCUCUGGCCCUUCUCACCACCACAACACAAUGCUCCACAAGUUUAUGUAGUUGUGUGACCACACCUCACUAGAGCUGAACGUGGAGAAGACAAAAGUGAUGUUGGUGACCUUUUCCAACAAGCAGAGGGAACUAGCAGCAGAAGUCACCAGCACAAUCCAUAGGAAGACUGCGGAACUUGUGGAGGAGUACAGACAUCUGGGCACUCUUUGAUAGUAUGCUCAGGUUUGCCUCCAACACUGAGGAGGUUCUAAGGAGAUUCCAGCAGCGGCAGUAUCUCCUGAGGAAACUCAGCAGCUUUGGAGUCAACAAGAACAUCUUGAGGACAUUCUACUACUCCUUCAUUGAGUGUGCCAUAACAUUCUCAAUAACCUGCUGGUUCCAUACCACAACUCUGCAUGAUAGAGCCUGCCUGCAGAGGAGAGUCAAGAUGUGCUCUAAAAUAAUUGGAUCCCUAGUCAGAACUCUGUCCUCCUUCUGUGAGCUCUAAACACUGAGAACAGCACGCAAAAUCCUACAAGACUCUUCACAUGUGCUGUUUCCAGCCUUUGAAUGGCUUCCUUCUGGGCGCCGAAUCCGCUGCCCGGUUUGUAGGACACAAAGGAGAAGAGCCACUUUUGUUCCAAGGGCUGUUCAACUUGUUAACUUGAAGCCACUAUCAUCCUCUGCCUUUACGCACCAAACCCCAUAAAGGUAUAAACCACAUUCUCAUUCCCCA